This 1243-nucleotide long non-coding RNA is filed under the name Sinocyclocheilus grahami. RNAcentral describes it as "lncRNA (ENSSGRG00000003292.1)". The record is from RNAcentral. Lineage: Eukaryota; Metazoa; Chordata; Actinopteri; Cypriniformes; Cyprinidae.
UCCCGUGUAGAAACCUAGUGGUUAUAAGCGUCGGAUACUAGUUAGGUUCUUUCUUUUAAUUUAGCAUUAAGCUGAAAUAAUAAUACCUCCAUCUCUGUACAGCUCUGGCAAUGCCUUACUGUAUCUACCGCAUUUAAUUCAUCAAACACUACAACUAUUCUAAAUUAUAGUCCAUGAACCAGUAAAAUAAUAACGGGAUGUAUUUAUAUUUAUAUUUUUAUAUUUCUUAGCAGUAUGCAUGUCUAUAAACAGCAAAACAAAAUGUUGAUGCUUACCAUGAUCAUAGAUAUUAUGUUAUUAUUUUGUAGAUGAUGUUAUCAUUUUGUAAUUUUGACUAUUAAAAGGAAAUGGCGUAAUCGUGGCGUGUUUGAUCUGAGAUGAUCAUCAUCACUUAUCCUCCUGAAGAUGAAUCCAUCAGUAGUGUGAUCAUAUGUGUACGGUUCAUCCAAGCCAUAAACACAGUGUUGCACAUAACCGUGUGCUGUUAGAUUAGCCCGGACCGCUGCUGGAGCUGGCUUCCAAUCUUACUCUUAUGUUCAAUAUUAAGCAUUAAAAAAGAUUUUUUACGGUAUGCAUACUGAGUUGCAGUUGGUGUCGUGUGUUUGCAUAUAAACUGUGACUGGCCUUAGUCAGAAUGUCACUAACUCAGUGUAGUGUUGCAUCGUUCAUAGAAAAGUCCUGGAUUAUUAUAUUUAGCACUGGUCUAUAAUGAGCUUUAGUCUCUGUGGAGGUCAGCUGAGAGCUUUAAAGGGACAGUUCACCCAGAACGAAAAUAGCCACCCUCGUGUCGUUUAGAUGCUGUUUUAUUUUACUUUAUUUGUGAAACACAAAUUUGAGAUGUUAGGUAGAACGUCUCAGCUGCUCUCUUCCACAAUAUGAGAGUGGAUGUGAUUUGUUUGUUUCUGGAGCAGCAGAUCAGCAUAUUAUACUGAUUUCUGAAGAUCAUGUGACACUGAAGACUGGAGGAAUGAUGCUGAAAAUACAGCUGCGCAUCACAGAAAUACAUUACAGUUUAACAGAGAUUCACACAGAACACAGCUGGUUUACAUUAUAAUAAUAUCUCACUGUUUUUACUGUAUUUGUGAUCAAAUAAAUGCAUUCUUGAUGAGCAGAAGAGACCUUGUUGAAAAACAUUAACAAAUCUUAAUGACCGUUAAAUGGUAGUGUAAGUAUAUUAAAAUCUAGGCCGGUACGAUAAGCCAACAAUUAUUUCAAUCUUACAGCAGAUAACUGAUAAGUGGCC